Molecule: ribosomal RNA, 723 nt
Filed under: uncultured Fusobacterium sp.
Lineage: Bacteria; Fusobacteriati; Fusobacteriota; Fusobacteriia; Fusobacteriales; Fusobacteriaceae
Description: bacterial SSU rRNA
Rfam family: Bacterial small subunit ribosomal RNA
Source: RNAcentral
GAUGAACGCUGACAGAAUGCUUAACACAUGCAAGUCGACUCGAGUCUUCGGACUUGGGUGGCGCACGGGUGAGUAACGCGUAAAGAACUUGCCUCUUAGACCGGGACAACAUCUGGAAACGGAUGCUAAUACCGGAUAUUAUGGUUUUUUCGCAUGGAGGAAUCAUGAAAGCUAGAUGCGCUAAGAGAGAGCUUUGCGUCCCAUUAGCUGGUUGGUGAGGUAACGGCCCACCAAGGCAAUGAUGGGUAGCCGGCCUGAGAGGGUGAACGGCCACAAGGGGACUGAGACACGGCCCUUACUCCUACGGGAGGCAGCAGUGGGGAAUAUUGGACAAUGGACCACAAGUCUGAUCCAGCAAUUCUGUGUGCACGAUGACGUUUUUCGGAAUGUAAAGUGCUUUCAGUCGGGAAGAAGUCAGUGACGGUACCGACAGAAGAAGCGACGGCUAAAUACGUGCCAGCAGCCGCGGUAAUACGUAUGUCGCAAGCGUUAUCCGGAUUUAUUGGGCGUAAAGCGCGUCUAGGCGGCAAGGAAAGUCUGAUGUGAAAAUGCGGAGCUCAACUCCGUAUGGCGUUGGAAACUGCCUUACUAGAGUACUGGAGAGGUAGGCGGAACUACAAGUGUAGAGGUGAAAUUCGUAGAUAUUUGUAGGAAUGCCGAUGGGGAAGCCAGCCUACUGGACAGAUACUGACGCUAAGCGCGAAAGCGUGGGUAGCAAACAGG